GCUCCCUUAGCUCAGCUGGAUAGAGCAACUGCCUUCUAAGCAGUCGGUCGAUGGUUCGAAUCCAUCAGGGGGCGC
This 75-nucleotide transfer RNA is filed under the name Prochlorococcus marinus str. MIT 1320. Its description in RNAcentral is "tRNA-Arg". It matches the Rfam family "tRNA". Rfam says of the family: Transfer RNA (tRNA) molecules are approximately 80 nucleotides in length. Lineage: Bacteria; Bacillati; Cyanobacteriota; Cyanophyceae; Synechococcales; Prochlorococcaceae. The record is from RNAcentral.